Molecule: ribosomal RNA, 377 nt
Filed under: uncultured bacterium
Lineage: Bacteria
Description: bacterial SSU rRNA
Rfam family: Bacterial small subunit ribosomal RNA
Source: RNAcentral
UAAGACAGAGGUCCCGAGCGUUAGGCGGAAUCACUGGGCUUAAAGCGUGUGUAGGCGGAUCUGUAAGUACCUUGUGAAAUCCCACAGCUUAACUGUGGAACUGCUUGGUAUACUGCGGAUCUUGAGCCACCUAGGGGCGAGCGGAACAAACGGUGGAGCGGUGAAAUGCGUAGAUAUCGUUUGGAACGCCAAUGGUGAAAACAGCUCGCUGGGGGUGUGCUGACGCUGAGACACGAAAGCCAGGGGAGCGAACGGGAUUAGAUACCCCGGUAGUCCUGGCUGUAAACGAUGUCCACUAGAUUGUGGCGGCUCUGACGCCGUCACGGUCGAAGCAAAAGUGCUAAGUGGACCGCCUGGGAAGUACGGUCGCAAGGCUA